UCCGAGUUGUCCCCGGCAGUCUCCUUAGAGUCCCCGCCAUUACGCGCUGGCAACUAAGGACAGGGGUUGCGCUCGUUGCGGCACUUAAGCCAACACCUCACGGCACGAGCUGACGACAGCCAUGCAGCACCUGUGCUGGCCCCUUACGGAGCCCUGCUUUCACAGGGUUUAACCAGCAUGUCAAGCCCAGGUAAGGUUCUUCGCGUUGCAUCGAAUUAAGCCACAUGCUCCGCCGCUUGUGCGGGUCCCCGUCAAUUCCUUUGAGUUUUAGCCUUGCGGCCGUACUCCCCAGGCGGGGCACUUAAUGCGUUAGCUACGGCACAGGAUCCGUUGGACAGACCCCACACCUAGCACCCAUCGUUUACGGCGUGGACUAC
RNAcentral lists this unclassified non-coding RNA (377 nucleotides) under uncultured Actinomycetes bacterium. RNAcentral describes it as "uncultured actinobacterium contains 16S-23S intergenic spacer region". Lineage: Bacteria; Bacillati; Actinomycetota; Actinomycetes. The record is from RNAcentral.